This 741-nucleotide ribosomal RNA is filed under the name Rothia mucilaginosa. RNAcentral describes it as "bacterial SSU rRNA". It matches the Rfam family "Bacterial small subunit ribosomal RNA", at positions 28 to 776 of the family's 1533-position model. Lineage: Bacteria; Bacillati; Actinomycetota; Actinomycetes; Micrococcales; Micrococcaceae. The record is from RNAcentral.
GACGAACGCUGGCGGCGUGCUUAACACAUGCAAGUCGAACGAUGAAGCCUAGCUUGCUAGGUGGAUUAGUGGCGAACGGGUGAGUAAUACGUGAGUAACCUACCUUUAACUCUGGGAUAAGCCUGGGAAACUGGGUCUAAUACCGGAUACGACCAAUCUCCGCAUGGAGUGUUGGUGGAAAGCGUUAUGUAGUGGUUAUAGAUGGGCUCACGGCCUAUCAGCUUGUUGGUGAGGUAACGGCUCACCAAGGCGACGACGGGUAGCCGGCCUGAGAGGGUGACCGGCCACACUGGGACUGAGACACGGCCCAGACUCCUACGGGAGGCAGCAGUGGGGAAUAUUGCACAAUGGGCGCAAGCCUGAUGCAGCGACGCCGCGUGAGGGAUGACGGCCUUCGGGUUGUAAACCUCUGUUAGCAGGGAAGAAGAGAAAUUGACGGUACCUGCAGAGAAAGCGCCGGCUAACUACGUGCCAGCAGCCGCGGUAAUACGUAGGGCGCGAGCGUUGUCCGGAAUUAUUGGGCGUAAAGAGCUUGUAGGCGGUUUGUCGCGUCUGCUGUGAAAGGCCGGGGCUUAACCCCGUGUAUUGCAGUGGGUACGGGCAGACUAGAGUGCAGUAGGGGAGACUGGAACUCCUGGUGUAGCGGUGGAAUGCGCAGAUAUCAGGAAGAACACCGAUGGCGAAGGCAGGUCUCUGGGCUGUAACUGACGCUGAGAAGCGAAAGCAUGGGGAGCGAACAGG